UUUGUUAAGAUGUAUAACCACCAUUUAUAGAUCUACAGUCUAUCGCUAUCUCAUAAUUCAGCCAUUAACAA
This 71-nucleotide transfer RNA is filed under the name Cyclophorus martensianus. Its description in RNAcentral is "tRNA-Tyr". Lineage: Eukaryota; Metazoa; Mollusca; Gastropoda; Architaenioglossa; Cyclophoridae. The record is from RNAcentral.